RNAcentral lists this transfer RNA (77 nucleotides) under Gammaproteobacteria bacterium. RNAcentral's name for it is "tRNA-Met". It matches the Rfam family "tRNA". From Rfam's summary of the family: Transfer RNA (tRNA) molecules are approximately 80 nucleotides in length. Lineage: Bacteria; Pseudomonadati; Pseudomonadota; Gammaproteobacteria. The record is from RNAcentral.
UGCGGGGUGGAGCAGCCUGGCAGCUCGUCGGGCUCAUAACCCGAAGGUCGUAGGUUCGAAUCCUACCCCCGCUACCA